CCUACGGGAGGCAGCAGUGAGGAAUAUUGGUCAAUGGACGAGAGUCUGAACCAGCCAAGUAGCGUGAAGGAUGACUGCACUAUGGGUUGUAAACUUCUUUUAUAUGGGAAUAAAACGUUCCACGUGUGGGAUUUUGUAUGUACCAUAUGAAUAAGGAUCGGCUAACUCCGUGCCAGCAGCCGCGGUAAUACGGAGGAUCCGAGCGUUAUCCGGAUUUAUUGGGUUUAAAGGGAGCGUAGGUGGAUUGUUAAGUCAGUUGUGAAAGUUUGCGGCUCAACCGUAAAAUUGCAGUUGAAACUGGCAGUCUUGAGUACGGUAGAGGUAGGCGGAAUUCGUGGUGUAGCGGUGAAAUGCUUAGAUAUCACGAAGAACUCCGAUUGCGAAGGCAGUUCACUGGACUGCAACUGACACUGAGGCUCGAAAGUGUGGGUAUCAAACAGGAUUAGAUACCCGGGUAGUC
Molecule: ribosomal RNA, 460 nt
Filed under: uncultured bacterium
Lineage: Bacteria
Description: partial 16S ribosomal RNA
Rfam family: Bacterial small subunit ribosomal RNA
Source: RNAcentral